CAAACUCUCGGGAAAACACAAUCCAGUUGUUGCAUAAUCAAUUUGCAUAUUUGGGCCCCAUAGAAUGAUCCUUUCAUCAGCCAACGAAUGUCAACGUAUCAUCGGAAAUUAUACAAGCUACAAAGUACAAAGGAACAAUAGCAAGAUUUUCACUUAAAAGCUGUUGUUCACUCAACUCGAGAAUCCUAACGUUGCUAGCAUAAAAUAUUAUUAUUUAUUUGUCAUAAGAUGGUUGUGAUGGCUUGAAAAGUUCUUUUUCCCUUUUUCUUUUGGUUGUAAUGUUUAUCAGAGGAUGAUGCAAUUUCUGGUUUAUUUCGUAAUAGGUACAAAGCUAAUGGAUUUUUAGAAGGAUAAUUGCCUUGUGGAAAUUGUUUUGAUAGAAAUCUUAAGGAUUGGUGAUGAUAACUGAUGGUGGAUCCAAAUCAAGAGAAUCUAUGAAGUUGAAGCCAUGCUUAAGAGAGUGCUCUGACAUGUUUAAUUAAGAGUGAAUUCCAAUAAGCAUGAGGAAAACAUAGCAUGCCACACUAAAACGAGUCUCAGACUGCACUUAAACUUGGGACACAAAAUUCCUAAUGAAUUGAAGAUUUAGUCACACUUAAGCGUGCCCCGUCCAGUGCUUAAGCAAGACUAGAGCUGAAGGAACCAAGCGUGUUGUCACGCUUGAGUAAGAAUCAACUUGCCCUUUAACAUGACUGGGUACAUGGUAGCUUGUCAGAGGCUCAUUGCAAAGACUUUUAGGCCCAAUGAUUACGAGUGACCUAACUUGUUGGAGAUCUGAAAGUGUGUUUUGAAGUGUAUGUCAACUAUGUAGCUUUGAUCUCCAUGGCUUUUUCACCAAUCUCCAGCAUCUUUCCACCAUUUUCUCUUGUUCUUCCUUCUUCCAUGUGUAGCUAGAUUUCUAGUUGUUGGGGCUUGAUGUAGCCAAACCAAACUUCAUGCAUGUAUACAUUUUAAGUUUUCAAUCAAAGUUAUUAUUCCACGUUA
Glycine soja is the source of this 984-nucleotide long non-coding RNA. RefSeq lists it as uncharacterized. The transcript has 2 exons. The record is from RefSeq and is a predicted model, not a curated record. Lineage: Eukaryota; Viridiplantae; Streptophyta; Magnoliopsida; Fabales; Fabaceae.